UCAUCAUCAUCAUCGCUGCUAAAGCUCCCCAGGUAAGGUGGUGCGAAUCCCUCUAAUCCUGAAUAACUGGACCACAGCUGUCGCUCCCCUGCUUGCUUUCGUUACCCAGAAUGGAGCUGCCCCGGGUUGUUCUGCCAUAUCAUCUGACUGACUGAAACUUCCAAAUAUUAACCUGUUGCUUUGUGUCCUAAAGGAAAGAACUGCUCAGCAUUCACAUGUCCUCUUUGAGACAUGACCUGUCAGACUUCCUAGUCAUACAGUAGAUGAGAGUGCAAAAAAAGAAUUAUUAUGAAGCUGUUGUGCAAAUCCUGUCACAUCUUCUGAUUUUCAGUCCUUGGUGUCUAUAGCGCAGUUCAGAACAUUCCUGACAAGUUACAUUCAAUUGAUUCUUCAAGAGCCACAGCCUACAUACCAGAAUCAUCUCACCAAUGAAAUGCAGCCAUUUCUGGGUUGCUCAGUGGAGUCCAGAUGUUGGGAAACAAGCUGCAUCAGAAAGCAGGCAAAAGCUUGAACAGGAAUGUAAAAGGAAUCACACACACACACACACACACACACACACACCACCAACAUUAUACAAAACUGUGUGUGUGUGUAUUUGUCUUAAUGUGCAUGUAGCAAAACCAGAAUAAUAGUUUGUUGCAUCUGCUUCUUAAGUCAUCCAAUGGGCAUUCUUCAUACUUUUAUCUAUAUAUUUAAAUAUCCAGAAGCUAGAUACAUCUAGUAAAUCUUCAAUUAUCUCUGGCAUGUGUGCAGAAUUGCCUUCCUCCCCACUCCCCAAAAAGACCAUUCUUCAUGGGUGUCAGCAUAUAUACACAGGGAAACAAUUUAGGACAACAUUUUUUUUUACAGGAAACAUUUGUGGAAAACUGAGUCAUCUCCAAAAUUCUAUCAUAUUUUCCCACAAUAGAACAUGAACUUAACUGAAUUACCAUCUUAAGAAAUUAUUCGUACCGUUGAACCAACAUAAGAAAAUCUGCCAUGACAAAGAUUUAUAGUUCCUAUACUACUUUACUCACACAGGUGCAAAUGCCUAUCUUUUCAUACAUCAUAAUAUUUAAUAUUUCUUUUUAAAUCAUAUUGCUUUUACAAGCUUCAGAAAAACCAAACUUAAGGAGCUGUUCUUCUGUGACCAAUUUAAUCGCAAAUCUUCAACUUUAUUUCCAAAGAAAUAUGUCAGGAUCUUAAGUAAUUAAACUGAAGUUUUGUGAAUUCCCUUGGAAACUGCAGGCAUUUAUGCAGGUGCUCACAUGCGUACAUACUAUAUUUUAUAAAUAGGGAGACAGUAUGACUGAAAUUUUUUUAAAU
This is a non-coding RNA of Pseudonaja textilis, 1305 nucleotides long. Lineage: Eukaryota; Metazoa; Chordata; Lepidosauria; Squamata; Elapidae. The record is from RefSeq and is a predicted model, not a curated record.